GACAGGACUGUCCGUGGGCCUCGAUAGGGCGAGAGCCGCGGGUGGGCGUCUCCAGGCAGCGCCUGAGCCUGCGUUCAGCAGCGGGGAAGGUCCGCAUCUUCUCCACGUUUUGCGUCCAGAUGUAAAUUCCAGUUCUUAGGAUGAGCUCGAGCAACGUCUGGCGAGGCCCAGACAGCGGGGUUCGAGGAGGUCAGGGGUCUGUUCAGACGCCGCAGCACGUGUUCCGGAGCCGCUGAGACGCGUUGGCGGCCAGCCUAGUGCGUUAGUCACGGCGGGGGUGGAUCACAGUGUCCCUGAGCUGUCCGCUUAUGGUCCCUCGUCUCUUCCGUGCUCUUCCUCAAAGAAGCCAGCCUCGAGGAGGAGGACGCCCCGUCGGCUGCUUCCGAGGGUCACCGUGUGCUCUCGGCGGUUCUCCCCGUCUCUCUCGGCCCUGAGGACAAGAUGGUCAACAACGAACCCAGUACUGACGACACCUACCAAGUCGGCGAGCCCGAGGGCUCCCCGGAGCCACAGUACCCCCCCGGCGUGGGAGACGUACUUCAGAAUAACGGAAAGAAGAAAUCGAAAAAUGAUCAGCACGAGAAACAAUCAGUUCUGGACAGGAUCCUGCAAAAUACUGAAAAAUCUCCAGGUAAACGGCAGCAAUACUGUGGCUUAACAACAUAGCAGCUCGUGGUGCUGGGCUGUCCCCCUGGUUGAAGGGAGCCGAGCAUCCAGUCCAGGCACACACGUGUCCCGUGAGUGGCUCUGCAAGAGCAGGUGCCUGGGUCCCCAUGGACCAGCCUCAAGCCAGGAGGCCCCGGCCCCCAGGUCCACAUUCCAGGCCUAACUCCCUCCCCAGGAGCAGCUGGGACAUGAGUCCUUGUCACACACGCACGUCACCACCCUGUGACCAGGCCUUCUCUGCAGGCCCCCCAGGCCCCCGGGGCCUCCCUGACUCACCCUUACUGCUGAGGUAGGUGCACAGGGCCCCGUGGCUUCUGCCCCUGCCCCACCCUUGUUCCUGGAGCUUUCCAGAACCACCCCUCCAGGCCGGCCCACCCGCCCUAGCCUCUCCCAGGCAGAAGCAACACCAGGCGACCCUCCGGCAUCUUCCUCGCACUCCUGUCACCUUCGUUCAGCUCGUCUGUUUGCUGAGCACCUGCACCAGGCUCACGCAGGCCUACGUUCUUAGGCCUCAUCCCCACAACGCGAAGCCCACGGCCCAGGGGUGCUCAGCUGGGCUGCAAGUCCCAGCCUAAGGGGACUUCUGGGUUCUGGCUCUUCUGUCGCCUGCUCCUCCAAGCCCCUGUCCUCCCCAAAUCAGCAAGACCGCCCUCUGGUCCUGGGUUUACCCACGAGGGGGUCCCAGGCUGGGCGUGGCGACCCCCCCCAGGGGUUCAGGUGUUGUCCAGCACAGGCCAGAAGCCACUGCAGUGGGGCCUCCCGGCCUCGGACUAUGGGACCAGAGCCCGUCCUGGGGCCCUUGCCCCACUGCAGCCGAGACCCUGCUCCCCAAAGCCCCCGGGUCCCUCUCCUCCCCACUCCCCACCAGCCCCCCUGAACCCACACCCUGCUGUCCCUCCAUGGGAACACACCGGGCAGCCCUGACCGCUGGGGCUCUGACCUGCAUCUGUGACAUC
This 1622-nucleotide long non-coding RNA is filed under the name Sus scrofa (pig). Its description in RNAcentral is "lncRNA (ENSSSCG00045029403.1)". Lineage: Eukaryota; Metazoa; Chordata; Mammalia; Artiodactyla; Suidae. The record is from RNAcentral.